UGAGUACGAGCUGCUACGGCAGCGAAGUGGGUGAUGUCAUGCUUCCAAGAAAAGCCCUAUACCCGUUAAGGCAUGAUGGCCUGUACCCGAGACCGACACAGGUGGGGUGGUAGAGAAUACCGAGGGGCGCGAGGUAACUCUCUCUAAGGAACUCGGCAAAAUGGCCCCGUAACUUCGGGAGAAGGGGUGCCACCGCAAGGUGGUCGCAGUGAAGAGGCCCAGGCGACUGUUUACCAAAAACACAGGUCUCCGCUAAGUCGCAAGACGAUGUAUGGGGGCUGACGCCUGCCCAGUGCCGGAAGGUUAAGGAAGCUGGUCAGCGUAAGCGAAGCUAGCGACUGAAGCCCCGGUGAACGGCGGCCGUAACGAUAACGGUCCUAAGGUAGCGAAAUUCCUUGUCGGGUAAGUUCCGACCCGCACGAAAGGCGUAACGAACUGGGCGCUGUCUCGGAGAGAGGCUCGGCGAAAUAGAAUUGUCUGUGAAGAUGCGGACUACGUGCACCCGGACAGAAAGACCCUAUGAAGCUUUACUGUAGCUUGGUAUUGUGCUCGGGCUCGGAAUGCGCAGGAUAGGUGGGAGGCUAUGAACCAUUGCUUGUGGGUGAUGGUGAGCCACUGGUGAGAUACCACUCUUUCCGAGCUAGAGUUCUAACAGUCACCCGUUAUCCGGGGGCUGGACAGUAUCAGGUGGGCAGUUUGACUGGGGCGGUCGCCUCCUAAAAGGUAACGGAGGCGCGCAAAGGUUUGCUCAGGCUGGUUGGAAAUCAGCCGACGAGUGUAAAAGCAGAAGCAAGCUUGACUGUGAGACCUACAAGUCGAACAGGGAGGAAACUCGGCUUUAGUGAUCCGACGGUUCUGCGUGGAAGGGCCGUCGCUCAACGGAUAAAAGUUACUCUAAGGAUAACAGGCUGAUCUCCCCCAAGAGUUCACAUCGACGGGGAGGUUUGGCACCUCGAUGUCGGCUCAUCGCAACCUGGGGCUGAAGUCGGUCCCAAGGGUUGGGCUGUUCGCCCAUUAAAGCGGUACGCGAGCUGGGUUCAGAACGUCGUGAGACAGUUCGGUCCAUAUCCGGUGCAUGCGCAGGAAUAUUGAGAGGAUUUCUCCCUAGUACGAGAGGACCGGGAGGAACGCACCUCUGGUGUACCAGUUAUCGUGCCAACGGUAAACGCUGGGUAGCCAUGUGCGGAGAGGAUAACCGCUGAAAGCAUCUAAGUGGGAAGCCCACCUCAAGAUGAGUAUUCCCAUGGGGUAACCCAGUAAGGUCACGGGAAGAACACCCGUUGAUAGGCUCUACGUGGAAGCGCAGUAAUGUGUGAAGCGGAGGAGUACUAAUAGACCGAGGGCUUGAC
RNAcentral lists this ribosomal RNA (1349 nucleotides) under metagenome. RNAcentral's name for it is "bacterial LSU rRNA". It matches the Rfam family "Bacterial large subunit ribosomal RNA", at positions 1564 to 2925 of the family's 2925-position model. The record is from RNAcentral.